GAAUCCUCCACUGCCCUAGCUAAUAUCACGUCUGUCUCUCACGCUUCUCUCGUUCUGUUUCUCAAUCUCUGACGCCACGAAAUCCUCCAGUAAGCCGCAUCGUACCACUAGCAUCCUCUACGUACGCAGCAAGCUCUCCCCAACUCGCCUCCAUCGAACCCCCCGCAGUAGGCUUGGUAUUCAGAGGCUUGAGAUUGCCAAAAACGACUUGCAACACAGGAUCGCAAAGGAGGCUAGAGGAAAUGCAAUUUUACAAGUAAGCUUAGAGAGAAGGAAGCAAGCAUUGCAUGAACAGCACAUGGCACUUGAACAAGAUGUGGGUGACACCCUACACUGCUUUGAUGGACUACAGCUGGAGCACCAGACAGUAGCUACAAAGACAAAAGUCAAAAACUCUUCAUGAUGCGUGUGACCGGCUGGUCAUAGAGAAGCAAAGACUGAUUGAAUUUGUAGAAGCACUUCAUAGUAAGCUCAAGUACUUUGAUGAAUUGGAGAAUGUAAGGUUUGAAUGCAAUCUUAACAAGAGUUUAAGUUUGUUUUGAUAUAUUGUUUUUUUUUUAGUCAAAGAGACCCACAAUAGAAAACAUUACUAAAGUAAUGGGACAAGAUUUGGAACAUUAUUUUGAUAUAUAGCAACUAGCAGCUUCCCAUUUAAAGUCAUUGUUGUUUGUUGAAACCUCUUCCAAAAGUCACACUAGCUUAUCCAAACUUCUACAAGCUUAAAUGAAAAUAACUCUCUAAAUGUUGGAUUCUUAUCUCCAAAUUAGGUUGGUCAUUCAUGUAUCU
Molecule: long non-coding RNA, 786 nt
Organism: Alnus glutinosa
Lineage: Eukaryota; Viridiplantae; Streptophyta; Magnoliopsida; Fagales; Betulaceae
Exons: 5
Source: RefSeq, a predicted model, not a curated record